AGUGAACGCUGGCGGUAGGCCUAACACAUGCAAGUCGAACGGCAGCACAGUAAGAGCUUGCUCUUACGGGUGGCGAGUGGCGGACGGGUGAGGAAUACAUCGGAAUCUACUUUUUCGUGGGGGAUAACGUAGGGAAACUUACGCUAAUACCGCAUACGACCUACGGGUGAAAGCAGGGGAUCUUCGGACCUUGCGCGAUUGAAUGAGCCGAUGUCGGAUUAGCUAGUUGGCGGGGUAAAGGCCCACCAAGGCGACGAUCCGUAGCUGGUCUGAGAGGAUGAUCAGCGACACUGGAGCGGAGACACGGUCCAGACUCCUACGGGAGGCAGCAGUGGGGAAUAUUGGACAAUGGGCGCAAGCCUGAUCCAGCCAUACCGCGUGGGUGAAGAAGGCCUUCGGGUUGUAAAGCCCUUUUGUUGGGAAAGAAAAGCAGCAGGUUAAUACCCCGCUGUUCUGACGGUACCCAAAGAAUAAGCACCGGCUAACUUCGUG
RNAcentral lists this ribosomal RNA (492 nucleotides) under uncultured bacterium. Its description in RNAcentral is "partial 16S ribosomal RNA". It matches the Rfam family "Bacterial small subunit ribosomal RNA", at positions 29 to 507 of the family's 1533-position model. The record is from RNAcentral.